GCCAUGGCAACAGGACCACGUGACCGCCUGCCUCUCUUACUGGAAGGCUUCCCUCCCGGUCCCCGUCUUGCAGCGAUGACGGCUCUGCUGAAAAAAACCCGCAAGCGGUGGAAACCAAUUAGAAGCUAAUUUCGCAGUCUUAAAGAGCCCAGCCAAAAAGAGGUUUGGAAACUGUCUGGAAAGCUGUACUUCACAAGAGCUUCCCAUUAAAUUCUGACCUACAGCCCUGGUAUUCCCUCAGGGUCUCCCAUCUAUCAGGUCCAACUCUGCUUAGGUUCCUGCCCAGGAAAAAUCAAUCAAGUGCUUCCACUAUUAAAACCAUCUUUAAUACCUCCUGCCCCUAUCAUGUGGAAAAGGUGACCUGCUGAAAAUAUGGUACUUUACAUGCAGACAAACAAAAGUCAUAUUAAACAUGUGGUUGUACAUGAAAUAAAUGAGUCAUGACAAAACUCUUUCAACCUAUUUGUGAAG
Molecule: long non-coding RNA, 471 nt
Organism: Thamnophis sirtalis
Lineage: Eukaryota; Metazoa; Chordata; Lepidosauria; Squamata; Natricidae
Source: RefSeq, a predicted model, not a curated record